GAUAAAAGGAUUACAAGGUGGAGGAACGGAGGCUGAGAAAGAAUUGGGACCUAGCUCGGCCUGGCGAGGAGCAGCCUGGGGAGGAAGGGAGAGGUCAGAUGGGUCUGUAGAAAAGGAAGAUUAGAAAGACUCAGCGACGCUUGGGGUUGGUACUGAGGGGACAGGCGGGAGGGAAAGAAGGAAGAUUUGGGACAAGUUGCACUGGGCACAGGGACUAGGAAGGGACUGAGUGUGUAAAAGAAUGCCUGGAGUCAGGCACCUCAGACCAUUUGCCUAUUUUAUGACAAGAAUUAUUUAGAUUUUGCAGGUUGGAAAAAUUCAAAGUGCCAUUUUCUGGCUAUUUGGAACUACUGUCGAGUUUGUAUUGGGGUCAAGCGGCAUUGCAGAAGAAAAUAAGGCAUUUAGGUUUUAGGUCAGGUGUGAGUUGAAGAGGUUUUUAAUUUUUGAGAACACAGGCUAAGGGAGAAGAAGGAGGAAUGGAAGGUGGAAACUUACCCAUAGUGAAGGAGGCAAGCCCAGAGAAAAGAGUAGAGACACAGAGAAGGGGUUGUGGGGGGGUGCGGUUCUUGCCCUCCAGAAAAGCAGAGAAGGGGUUGGGGCAUGGAAAUAAGGGAUUGGGGCACAGACAUAAGAGGUCAGGGUGCAGAAAUAAGGGAUUGGGGCACAGAGAUAAGAGGUUGGGGUGUGGAAAUAAGGGAUUGGGGCACAGAGAUAAGAGGUUGGGAUGUGGUAAUAAGCGAUUAGGGGGUUCUUGCCCCCUAGGAAAGCGGGACUUGCUACUAAGGGUGAAGGAGAAGGGGCUGAGGGGUACUUGCCCCUGCCCCAGAAAAGCAGGACUUGCCACUAAGGGUGAAGGAGAAGGGGUUGAGGGGUACUUGCCCCUGCCCCAGAAAAGCAGGACUUGCCACUAAGGGUGAAGGAGAAGGGGUUGAGGGGUACUUGCCCCUCCCCCAGAAAAGCAGGACUUGCCACUAAGGGUGAAGGAGAAGGGGUUGAGGGGUACUUGCCCCUGCCCCAGAAAAGCAGGACUUGCCACUAAGGGUGAAGGAGAAGGGGUUGAGGGGUACUUGCCCCUCCCCCAGAAAAGCAGGACUUGCCACUAAGGGUGAAGGAGAAGGGGUUGAGGGGUACUUGCCCCUCCCCCAGAAAAGCAGGACUUGCCACUAAGGGUGAAGGAGAAGCGGUUGAGGGGUACUUGCCCCUGCCCCAGAAAAGCAGGACUUGCCACUAAGGGUGAAGGAGAAGGGGUUGAGGGGUACUUGCCCCUCUCCCAGAAAAGCAGAGAAGGGGUAGAGACAAGGAGAGAAGGGGUUGGGGUACUUGCCCUUCCCCAGAAAAGCAGGACUUGCCGCUAAGGGUGAAGGACCAAGGCAGGCGUCCCUGCGUGGUCUGACACCCUUGAAACAUGAGUGUAUAAUCAGAGGCGUCCCUGCAAUGAUUAAACACCAAGGGAAGGCUGCCUUCCCAGUCCAUGACCGGCGCCGGAGUUUUGGGUCCACGGAUAAAACGUGUCUCCUUUGUCUCUACCAGAAAAUGAAAGGAAUUGAAAUUAAGAGAAGGGAGAAAUUGAAGUGUGGCACCAAGAUUGAAAGGAGAAAGAGGUUGAGGGAUAGUGAGGGAGGUUGGAGAAGAGAGUAAAAAGAGGCCGCUUGCCGGAUUUGAAAUUGGUGAGAUGUUUCUUGGGCUGGUCACUCUGAGGACCUGAGGUCGUAGGUGGAUCUUUCUCAUGGAGCAAAGAACAGGAGGACAGGGGAUUGAUCUCCCAAGGGAGGUCCCCCGAUCCGAGUCACGGCACCAAAUCUCAUGCGCGUCCGUAUGAAGAGACCACCAAACAGGCUUUGUGGAGAAGAUGUCGAAGACACAGGAGAAGACAAGCCAGGGAGAGGGGCUUAGAGCAGAUUCUCCCUUGCAGCCUCAGAAGGAAUCAGUCCUGGUCACACCUUGAUCUCAGACUUCUGGCCUCCAGAAUGGUAGCAGCAGCAAAAAUGGCAAAAUGAGGACUUUUGAGAAUUCCUUUCUCUAUGGAAACAAAACCCUGGGGGAAAAUGGUCUGAAUCAACCUUUUCAGAACUCUGGAAAUUAGCCCGAGACUUGAAGCAAUUCAGGUUGCAUUUGUAUAAGAAAAGUGACAGAAUCUCAGUAAGAACAGCAAGCUUUGAAGGAUUUGAACUUGCCCAGUUGCCUUCCUUCUUUCUCCAUCUCUGCAGGGGACUUAAAACCAACAUCCCACACUCAUAAUGAAAACCUGGCAGGAGGCAGAACAGGAUUGGAGCUGCUUCAAAGCCUUAGGUCCAGAGAACUCAUCACCUAUGCAGAUCCUCAAUAAGACUCAAAGCUGAUUCCGCCUCAGAAACCAUGGAGACCCAAAGCCAAAUUCAAAGUGCUGAAAGUUAACUCAUCCAAUCAGUCAACUCUUGUACAGACCUCCUUUUUUUUUGUUCUUGGAGUUUGUUUUAUUCUAAUAAAGGUGUUUUAUAUUGUUGUUGUAUUAUUCUUAAAUACCAUAUUUUAGUUGCUAUUAUAAAUGGUACUUCUAUUGCCGUUUUGUCUAACAUUUUCUGGUGGUCAAAUUUCUAGCUAGUGUGGAAGAACACUGAUGGUUUUUACUUAUUGAUUUUCUCUCUGGCAAUCUCACUAAACCUUAUGAUAAGUAAUAAACCUUAUGAUAGUAGAAAAGGUUGAUAUGAUAUGAUAGUAGUAAUCCUCUGGAUUACCCAUCCCCUCUUGAUAAUCUCUGUUGAAAUAAUCACAUUAUGUGCAACUAAUGACAAUGUCACUGCUCUUAUAGUCUCUAUGUGCAUUUCUUUUUCUUGUCUUACUGCUUUGACUCAUUCAGUUGACUGCCAUUCACAGAACAGAUGUGGAACGGUUGUUUUCGUUAUCAUGUGCCUAAAAAGAAUGUGAUUAAAAUUUGCCAGUUCAAUAUAAUAUUGGAUGUAGGGUUUUAAUAAAUAACUUUCAACAAACUGCAAGAGUCAUCUUCCCUUUCUAGUAUUCUAAUGGCACUGGUUUUUUAAAAAUAAUAAAUUGGUAUUGAAGUUGUCUUAUGCUUUUUUCUGUAUCCAUUUCCAUUAAGAUAAUUAUUUGGAUUUUUUCUACUUUUCAUUAUAUGAUAUAUUGAAUAAUUAUAUUUUCUGAGGCUGAACUCUCCUUGAAUCUCUGUUACAAAUGCUGCUUGUCAUGAGAUACUAUUUUUCAUGCUGUCGUUAAAUUAGUAAAUUAAUUUUUAUUUAGGAUCUUAAAUCUACAUAUGUAAGUAAAACU
RNAcentral lists this long non-coding RNA (3264 nucleotides) under Homo sapiens (human). RNAcentral describes it as "non-protein coding lnc-ID2-9:2". The record is from RNAcentral. Lineage: Eukaryota; Metazoa; Chordata; Mammalia; Primates; Hominidae.